AUGGAGAAGUCCAUGACGACGUCGGAGACGACGCAGGUCACGGGCGGGCCGCCUGCGUUGAGGUCCACGAGGAGGCGGCGGAAGGGCCCGAGGCAGGUCUCCGUGGUGGACUUGCACAGCGACGCGACGUCCUGCGUGACGUCGUCGUCAGACGGCGGCAGGCCGUCCGGGAUGGUGGCGAAGCGGAAGCCCGGGACGCCGGCCACCGCGGCGGGGCCGCGGGAGCGAACGAGGCGGGCGUGGUUGUACUCGGUGUUGACGAAGGUGACGUGGAAGCCGCGGGCGUGGAGCAUCUUGGCAACGUCGAGCAUCGGGAUGAUGUGCCCCUGCGCGGCCGCCGGCAGGCACACGGCGUGCGGUCUCUCGGCCGGCGCCGGCGGUGCAGAAGAAGCCAUUUCCCCGUGCUUUUGGAGCCGAGACCAAGACAGAAAGGGUUUUUGUUGCUGCCGAGGAUUCGAGUACUUGGGUGGCUCUAUCUCAGCAUUGUGUUCGAUUUAUUUAUAG
Molecule: ribosomal RNA, 504 nt
Filed under: Triticum aestivum (bread wheat)
Lineage: Eukaryota; Viridiplantae; Streptophyta; Magnoliopsida; Poales; Poaceae
Description: partial small subunit ribosomal RNA
Source: RNAcentral